Long non-coding RNA from Argiope bruennichi, 569 nucleotides. RefSeq lists it as uncharacterized. The transcript has 3 exons. NCBI's taxonomy places the organism in Eukaryota, Metazoa, Arthropoda, Arachnida, Araneae, Araneidae. The record is from RefSeq and is a predicted model, not a curated record.
CCCUUGAAUUAAAAAUUGAGCUACCUUCUCUCAUUUUGUGACAAAUAGCAAAAUUUGUGCAAGUAGUUUUCUUCUUUGAAUGCGAAGUAUCACUGCUUUAAAUGCCUCAAAACGGAAUUAUAUUCUGCAAGAAAAUUUAAACACUAUGAAAAACUCUGAAAAUAUUAAACAACAAAUGCGACCUUUCUAGCAGGCAUCCUGUACUCCAAUUCCAUACAGCACUAUUUUCCAAUUGACAGCCUCAUCAAAGACUUCUUUGCAGUUUCCAUGUAUCCAGAAAUGUAUGCUGACUUCCAACACCUUCCUUCAGAAAAUCUUUCUUCCGAAUUUCUGAAGAUCUCUUAGACCAGAUUUCACUUGCCUUAUAUGAUCUAACAUACAAGCUGGUCUCGGAUAUCAAUGCUUAUUUCCAGUGUGGCUCCCUCUCCGAAAUUUGAGAAUAACCACUGUCAUCGGUAGGCCAAAGGAUCUGAAUCAACUUGAAAUCUAGACAAAGGAAGAAUUUUCUGAAAACAGCUGAGAUUAUCUACAAUUCGCAUCCAAUUGUUUCCGACAUUCCAGGUUCUUAC